Molecule: non-coding RNA, 1325 nt
Organism: Heterocephalus glaber (naked mole-rat)
Lineage: Eukaryota; Metazoa; Chordata; Mammalia; Rodentia; Bathyergidae
Source: RefSeq, a predicted model, not a curated record
CUAUAGAUAGAUGACUGGUAGCCCCAGGAGAGUUGGGAGCAGGGCGUAUGGGCCACAAGGAGGAAAUAUAGCCCAUUUCCUGGUUAGUACCACGGACAGAGCUGUCAGUAGCAAGAAACAUCCUUGGAGUUAGCCUUGGUGUUAAAGAACUCAAAGAAACCAGUGUUGCAUUUUAAAGGUGCUCCUUAUCUCUAUUAUGAUUGGCAGUGGGGUUGGGACUGUGUGCUGCUGCAUCCUCAUAGGGCAGUCAUUGGACCUGAACAUGACUAGCUCUGAAUAAAAAGGUGUCUCACCCACCUGUGCACAUGGAGAAAGGAAAAGUUGAUAGAGGAGAAUAACAUCUCCUUGACCUUUCUCUGUCACUUCUCCGAGUUUUGAAAAACUCACAAUACUUUAAGGAACAAUACCUAGCCUUUCUGAUGACACAAUGAAUUCCUGUGCAUUCCAAUCUUAGAAUCUGUAGGGCAUGGAGACUGCUCUGUGGCACAACUAGAGAAGGAGAGAUGUGGGGGACAGUUGGAAGAGUGGUAAAGCAGUAGAGGCAGAAUGCUCAUUUUGGUAAUCAAGGAGCACCAAAACAUAACAAAUGAAUUCUCCCCGAUACCUCCUAAGGAUGAUGACUUAGCACUCACUUUCCCUAGAAGUAAUGGCUACAGAGUUGAAGAGGGGCAGAUAAUCCAGGAUCUUCCCAGAAGAGACAUUCCCACAGCAGGCAGGCAAAAAUUUGCUUUUCUGAGUUCACAUCACAUGUGUGAGUAAAGCUAACGAAAGGGGGUGAGGUAUGUACAGCUGCAUUGGGAACAUGGCUAAUUCAAGGCAAACUCGUUUGGCUCAGAGGGAACAACCAGUUACUUCAGGCAAGCAGCAGAAGCCCACUUGUUAAUGAGCAGCUGGUUCCUGUUGAAUGCCAUCAGGAUGAUUCAGCCACCCACCAGGAACACCAGUAACAGCAAGUGCACGCACAGAAAUCUGCAAAACUUUCUUCUUUUGAUGCCAACACUAUUACUCUGGCAAAGUCAAAACCCUUUAUGGAUUUACCAGUUCAACUAAAUGUGACCUUGUUCCCCUCACAAAUACCAGCUCACUCUCAAAUAAACACAACUUCUGGCUGAUUAAAAUGCAACGUUCUUCCACAGUUGAGUGCACCCUGCAGUGAGUCCCUCCUCUGUGCUGUGUCUACAUUCUCUCCCUUUUUCAUUUUUUCACUGUUCAAUGAAACUUCAAAGGAUGAAUGAGAUCCAUAUACACUCAGAGUCCACCUUGUAUGUUGUCCUGCUUACUGCUGACCACAUGCAUUUAAAGUUAUGCCUCAAGUUGUUUUAUUG